RNAcentral lists this ribosomal RNA (253 nucleotides) under uncultured bacterium. RNAcentral describes it as "partial 16S ribosomal RNA". It matches the Rfam family "Bacterial small subunit ribosomal RNA", at positions 524 to 776 of the family's 1533-position model. The record is from RNAcentral.
UACGAAGGGGGCUAGCGUUGCUCGGAAUCACUGGGCGUAAAGGGUGCGUAGGCGGGUCUUUAAGUCAGGGGUGAAAUCCUGGAGCUCAACUCCAGAACUGCCUUUGAUACUGAAGAUCUUGAGUUCGGGAGAGGUGAGUGGAACUGCGUGUGUAGAGGUGAAAUUCGUAGAUAUUCGCAAGAACACCAGUGGCGAAGGCGGCUCACUGGCCCGAUACUGACGCUGAGGAGCGAAAGCGUGGGGAGCGAACAGG